This 267-nucleotide ribosomal RNA is filed under the name uncultured bacterium. RNAcentral describes it as "partial 16S ribosomal RNA". It matches the Rfam family "Bacterial small subunit ribosomal RNA", at positions 793 to 1055 of the family's 1533-position model. The record is from RNAcentral.
GUCCACGCCCUAAACGAUGUCAACUGGUUGUUGGGGAAGGAAACUUACCUUAGUAACGAAGCUAACGCGUGAAGUUGACCGCCUGGGGAGUACGGCCGCAAGGUUAAAACUCAAAGGAAUUGACUGGGACCCGCACAAGCGGUGGAUGAUGUGGAUUAAUUCGAUGCAACGCGAAAAACCUUACCUACCCUUGACAUGCCAGGAAGCCCGAUGAGAGUUGGGUGUGCCCGAAAGGGAGCCUGGACACAGGUGCUGCAUGGCUGUCGU